UACGGAGGGUGCAAACGUUGCUCGGAAUCAUUGGGCGUAAAGCGCACGUAGGCGGCCUGUUAAGUCGGGUGUGAAAGCCCUGGGCUCAACCCAGGAAGUGCACUCGAAACUGGCGGGCUUGAAUAUGGAAGAGGGUCGCGGAAUUCCCGGUGUAGAGGUGAAAUUCGUAGAUAUCGGGAGGAACACCUGUGGCGAAAGCGGCUCACUGGACCACAACUGACGCUGAGGCGCGAAAGCUAGGGGAGCAAACAGG
RNAcentral lists this ribosomal RNA (253 nucleotides) under uncultured bacterium. RNAcentral's name for it is "partial 16S ribosomal RNA". It matches the Rfam family "Bacterial small subunit ribosomal RNA", at positions 524 to 776 of the family's 1533-position model. The record is from RNAcentral.